This is a small nucleolar RNA of Papaver somniferum (opium poppy), 71 nucleotides long. RefSeq annotates it as small nucleolar RNA R66. Lineage: Eukaryota; Viridiplantae; Streptophyta; Magnoliopsida; Ranunculales; Papaveraceae. The transcript has a single exon. The record is from RefSeq and is a predicted model, not a curated record.
UCCAAUGAUGAAGAUGAAAUCUUUGCGACCUGAUUGUCUCUUGAUAACAGCUAUAAGCAUUUUCUGAGGAU